Molecule: ribosomal RNA, 675 nt
Filed under: Triticum aestivum (bread wheat)
Lineage: Eukaryota; Viridiplantae; Streptophyta; Magnoliopsida; Poales; Poaceae
Description: partial small subunit ribosomal RNA
Source: RNAcentral
CAGUUCAAGAUGGCGAAGGCUCCAACUAGGGAAGCUAGCACUUGCAGUUUACCAAAGAGUUCCUCCUUGAAUAUGCUCUUACUCCUCCUCCAGCUCCUCGCCAUCACCACCCUCCCUUGCUCUGCCAACAACGCCACCCAACUAGUCUAUGACACGGAGGGCAACGUGCUAAGUAGCAAGCAAAAUUACUACAUCCUCCCUGCUAAACGUGCGACCGGCGGGGGCCUCAGAGCUUUGCCUACUGGCCUGAGGUGUCUGCACUUCGUGUUCCAGGAGCGCAACGGGGCUGUCCUCGGCACCGCCCUGCGGUUCACGCCACUACCAGAACACGCUUCAGCCAGCGAGCCGAUUCGCUUGUCGAGGGACAUCUGGAUCGAGUUCCAUGAUUUUGAUAGUUUUUGCUCUGAAAGGCUAGAUUGGCACCUUACCGAUCAGGUACCGGAGUCGUCAUCAGGAGAGCCUAAACACGUGGCCGCCGGCAGUGAAGAGGGCCUAAGAUCGUUUGCGGUGUUCCGGGUUGAGAGGCAUGGCACAGGUCUCUCGGGAUAUAAGAUAGUUUCAUGUGUUGACAAGGGGCCAUGCAAAGAUGUAGGUUUGCAUGCUACUAAGAACAAGACGUGGCUGACCGUGAGCAAUAAGCCUUUUAUGGUUGUCUUUAGGAAAGAGAGGUUAUAG